AUGCACCAUAAAUCAAAAAACUCAUGCCAACUCCAAGUUACACAUCAUUCACAAAGACCAAGUUAUUCAUUUAAACCAUAUGCUAAGCCAAAAAUUAAGCAUAGUCCAGAGAAAUUCUUGCAGAAUCCAUGCUCAAUACCUAUUACAACAUUAAACCAGAGAAAAAUCACUUCCAAUACAAAUGAUAUAAUAAAACGUAGGCCAAACAUAACCUACAUCAUUUUUCUCUAA
Vicia faba (fava bean) is the source of this 231-nucleotide non-coding RNA. The record is from the annotation of a GenBank genome assembly. Lineage: Eukaryota; Viridiplantae; Streptophyta; Magnoliopsida; Fabales; Fabaceae.